GACGAACGCUGGCGGCGCGCCUAACACAUGCAAGUCGAACGGAGUUAUUUCAGCUGAAGCUUUCGGGUGGACGCAGGAAUAACUUAGUGGCGAACGGGUGAGUAACGCGUGAGUAACCUGCCCUGGAGUGGGGGACAACAGUUGGAAACGACUGCUAAUACCGCAUAAGCCCACGGUGCCGCAUGGCACAGCGGGAAAAGGAUUUAUUCGCUUCAGGAUGGACUCGCGUCCAAUUAGCUAGUUGGUGAGGUAACGGCCCACCAAGGCGACGAUUGGUAGCCGGACUGAGAGGUUGAACGGGCCACAUUGGGACUGAGACACGGCCCAGACUCCUACGGGAGGCAGCAGUGGGGGAUAUUGCACAAUGGGGGAAACCCUGAUGCAGCGACGCCGCGUGGAGGAAGAAGGUUUUC
Molecule: ribosomal RNA, 413 nt
Filed under: uncultured bacterium
Lineage: Bacteria
Description: bacterial SSU rRNA
Rfam family: Bacterial small subunit ribosomal RNA
Source: RNAcentral